UCCUGACUGCUGGACCUAAGCUAAGGCCUA
RNAcentral lists this non-coding RNA (30 nucleotides) under Rattus norvegicus (Norway rat). Lineage: Eukaryota; Metazoa; Chordata; Mammalia; Rodentia; Muridae. The record is from RNAcentral.